RNAcentral lists this long non-coding RNA (1180 nucleotides) under Equus asinus (donkey). Its description in RNAcentral is "lncRNA (ENSEASG00005023869.1)". Lineage: Eukaryota; Metazoa; Chordata; Mammalia; Perissodactyla; Equidae. The record is from RNAcentral.
UUCCUUUUGUGCAUUCUGUGUAGGUGGACCACAGAAAAUAUAGGAAACAGGAAGGUUAAACGCAACAGGAAUCCACCUUUUGUGUUCAGCAAUGUGGGGAUGUCCAUCUUGCUGCCAAGUUCUGUUCCCUGCCCUCAAGGAGGUAAUGUUAUUGUAACCCCGUCAGAGGGGUUGGUCAGGAAAACAGAAGCCACUCUAGGUAUUCCAAGUAGGAAGGGUUCUAACACAGGGAAUUGGAGACCUGCACGAUUGCUGGAAGGGCCGGAGGAAUCAAGGUGGGGCCUGGAGCUGCCAGAGGUGGGUGACUUACAGGAGCUCACCCGGAAGCAGCAAAGGACCCAGAAAUCUCAGCAGUUGCUGCCACCACCAACCUCAGCAGCCUGAGGCACCGGAGCAUGCAAUUCUCAAGAAACUGAGUUUUGCCCAAGCAUCUUGCUGCAGCUGCCACAAGAGAAUGACAGCCGUUCUUCUCUUCCACCUCCCAGUUCUCACAGGAAUGCCUCUCAUUGGCCGACUCUAACCUGGAGCUGUACAGGGAAGGGGAUUCUGAGAAAAGCAGUCCCAAGCUUCUCCUCCGAGGUGCAGGCUGUCAAAGUGUGUGGCCAUGAUGCCAGAGGACAAGAGACAAUGAGUUUGGUUUCAGAGCCACAAAUCAGAAAGAACAAAGAGAUUUCAUCCUAAGGGACAGCCCUUGAUUACUUGGGGAUGGCUGCCUGGAGGGCUGUUUCGAAAAUAAUUUCAAGGUGGUACCUAGGCCCAGCAGGAAAAGGUGCUAUGAUUGAUUAGCAAUGCCUGUCAUGGGUGUGGAAUGAGAGUGAGGAAUUGUACACAACAAACUUGCAAUGGUGCUCCAAACUAAUGAUUGAAAGACUUUCUAAAGUCACUGCCAUUUGUAUUUGUUCCUUUUUUCCCUGAGUCAGUUGUGUAAAUUGCAACCAUCCAUGUGGGGUGUUAUCCCCAUGAGCCUUGAGCUCAAGAGGGACACAGGAAUUGGAGCAGCUGGCAAGGAGCAGGGCAGGGACAUGGGGCACCUGUGGGGUCUCUAGCCUUCGGAACCAUGCUCUGCACAAUCCACACAGUCACACUCCUCAAGGUCAUCUCACGAUGCUGUGCUGAGGAGCCUGGGGUGUUCAGGAGGAGGACGGUUGGAGGAAUGCCAUAGCACGGAGCUCCAGGAGGC